UUUGUUGUCCGACUCUGUUGCCUCCGGGGCGACCCUGCCUUCGGGCGGGGGCUCCGGGUGGACACUUCAAACUCUUGCGUAACUUUGCAGUCUGAGUAAACUUAAUUAAUAAAUUAAAACUUUUAACAACGGAUCUCUUGGUUCUGGCAUCGAUGAAGAACGCAGCGAAAUGCGAUAAGUAAUGUGAAUUGCAGAAUUCAGUGAAUCAUCGAAUCUUUGAACGCACAUUGCGCCCCCUGGUAUUCCGGGGGGCAUGCCUGUUCGAGCGUCAUUUCACCACUCAAGCCUCGCUUGGUAUUGGGCAACGCGGUCCGCCGCGUGCCUCAAAUCGACCGGCUGGGUCUUCUGUCCCCUAAGCGUUGUGGAAACUAUUCGCUAAAGGGUGCUCGGGAGGCUACGCCGUAAAACAACCCCAUUUCUAAGGUUGACCUCGGAUCAGGUAGGGAUACCCGCUGAACUUAAGCAUAUCAAUA
This 473-nucleotide ribosomal RNA is filed under the name Cladosporium sp. DY115-21-3-M7. RNAcentral describes it as "eukaryotic LSU rRNA". The stretch from base 118 to 271 matches the Rfam family "5.8S ribosomal RNA". The record is from RNAcentral. Lineage: Eukaryota; Fungi; Ascomycota; Dothideomycetes; Cladosporiales; Cladosporiaceae.